CUGGUUGUAGAGUUUCUACAUGUAAAUUAAUUCUUCAACAGAGAGUGUUUGUCUCUUUUUUAACCCUGCUCCACUAUCAACCAUCCUUCAGAAUACUUUCUGUCCUCGCUGGUUGUAAAUAGACUUCAGUUAGAGAAGCCUCUAACUCCUGCCAUAACGUGGACAUUUUGAAUCAGACACAGCGAGGUUCUGGCAGCCAGGAGAGUGCAGUGGAACGCAGACCAGGACCCUGUGCAGUAGUGUGUAUGUGUGUGCGUGUGUGUUUAGUUGUGCGUCCGUCCAUGGUAGUGCUAGUGCUCUCUGUGCAGUGCCUCCCUCCUCCCUGCCCUCUCUCUCUCUCUCUCGCUCCCUCUCUGAUGUAGUUUGUCCUGUGACACGGAGUGUGUUAAGGUGCAGGAUGACUGUUCGCUGAAGCUGGCAGAUGCCCUCUCUCUCUCUCUCUCUCUCUCUCUCUCUCUCUCACUCUCUCCCUCUCUCUAUGACGUUCUCUCUGUCCGUGUCUCCUCUGCUUCUCCAUUACAACUCUUCAUUUUAAUCUUCCACCACGUAUAGAUUUCCACUUCCUUUUGCUCGAUUGUUCAUUUACUCCCCCAUUCGGCUGGUAAUGUGUACACCAGCAGAGUGUAAUUUCCCAGUAAUCCAUGCUUCCUCAUCUAUCUGUAAUUCUUUGUCCAUUAGCGACUCCCAUCCGUCACUGUAGAGCACCUUGUUUUUCCUGCAAACCUCUGUGGACCGGAGAAGGAUUUAGCACACACAAAAAAAGAAAGAAGAUCCAUGCAUCUCAUGCCCGCUCAUACCUUUAUGUUUUUCUUCUUUCAUCUUUCUCUCUGUUCUGUCUCUGAAGAGAAGAGCAGCUGCCGGCUCAGCUCACAGAAACACAAAGCAGCCAUAUUCAGAUGUCAAGCACAGACUUGUGACUCAAAUACCUGUUGUGGUGGCAUCAUUGCUGCCAUGUUUGUAGCAAGAGCAAGAGAAUAGCCUUAAAGAUUGGACCAACUACACCUAAAAGUAGGGGGAUAUGUGCAUUUUGUAGUGGACAAUGAUUACCUUCCCUUCUCCCACACCAGAUUUAUUAUGCAGUAUUCUGAUGUGUUGCUUGGUUGCUCUGUACAUAUCUGUGUAGUACUUCUGUUGAUGUCCCUGUGUUAGUAUCGUAACGGGUUCUUACUGGGCGACCUACACAGACGUCCUCUCCCUCCUGUCUCGCCUCAUUUCCUCAAAAAAACUCUAGACAUUCCAUCUGAAUCUCAACUUGAGAAGCAUUUUAGAGACGAUUCGAUUUUCAUGUAGCCUGGGAGAGAUCGGACUGAACCACAGACAAUUCUGCCGGAGCCAUCAUAAUAACCAGGAAGUUUUGUCUGCAUUCCGAGUCAUAAUAAUAGACUCAGUGUAAAGACCCGUACACGUGCCUCUCUGCUCCUCCAAACGCCACCCCCAUACGCCUACUUCACCUGGCUCCAAGAGGCCAGCACCACCUGAUAAAAGGAGCCUGUGACUUCCAGCAGGGGAGGUAGGUGAGGAGGUGGAAGAGCCCUAGGAGGCAGUAGAGAGGCAGCAUGUGGUCUCAUCCUGGGUCAGGAGGGGAGGGAGCGAGGGCGUCUUGAGGUCAAACCUGGUAGCACUUUGGUUUUGCGUUCCAUGUUUUUAAAGCCUCUCCUGUUUUUUGGCCGAGCAGACUGUGAUCUUACUGGUUGAUUUUCUCGUUCUCCUCCGCCCAUCAGUGUUACAGAGUGUGUUGGGUGGACGGAGCCUUGGAGCUGAGCUCUGAUAUUGUUCCAUAUUAA
Molecule: long non-coding RNA, 1784 nt
Organism: Notolabrus celidotus (New Zealand spotty)
Lineage: Eukaryota; Metazoa; Chordata; Actinopteri; Labriformes; Labridae
Exons: 3
Source: RefSeq, a predicted model, not a curated record